GCAUUUUUGAGAGAUUCAGCUCUCACACAGUCAGAUCCUGUGAAACUGGAAUAGGAAAAUAGGAAACUGAAAUCCGGACACAAUUCUGAGAUACCAAUUAAUACACAUUUUUAUAAAACAGGUUCCAAAAUAAAUCCUCUUCCUUCCCAGCAAACCUCAGCGUUACCUUGGUUACGCACAUUAAACUGUGCAUAUAUUUUCUUGUAAUCACACUGUUAAACUAUUUCUCCAAAAGAUACUAAAUGACUGAAACAGGAAAGUAAAUGUGUAUUGUCUCAGCUAUCUGCUUCCAAACCAUAGGACUGUCUGCAUAUCCCUCUCUUCAGCCAACUACACUGCUUAUAGUUUAAUGCAUAAAGCAGCAAAAACCACCGAUUGACCACAAGCAGAUGCAAUCUUCAAUGAAAAUGCUUCUGUUUAGCACUGAGAAUCUUCUCCAAAAAUUAAAAUCUGCUCAAAUCACUACAGUAUUCCAGACAUUCCUGAGAGCAUAAAGAGAAAAAACUUUCGUUAAAGAGUCACUUUUCCCCACAGAUUAACUACAUGUCUCAGAAAGGCUAC
Molecule: long non-coding RNA, 561 nt
Organism: Chiroxiphia lanceolata (lance-tailed manakin)
Lineage: Eukaryota; Metazoa; Chordata; Aves; Passeriformes; Pipridae
Exons: 3
Source: RefSeq, a predicted model, not a curated record